Molecule: long non-coding RNA, 229 nt
Filed under: Linum usitatissimum (flax)
Lineage: Eukaryota; Viridiplantae; Streptophyta; Magnoliopsida; Malpighiales; Linaceae
Description: long non-coding RNA (LUSI_LNC000368)
Source: RNAcentral
CCACUUCCCGCUCCUCCACCUCCGCCGCCGAGAGUGCCGCCGAGAGCGCCGCCGCCGCCGGCAUUACUGUACUCCAUUCUCCAACCACCACCAAUAUAAAAAAAACUUCAAUCUUUUCAAUCUUUACACAUGCAGAGACAGGAAACUAUAAGGAUAAGAACGAUGGAAGAAGGGAAGUGGGGGGUAGAGGGUUUUUAGAGGGGUUUAAGCUUCUUCAAUGGCGGAUAAA